RNAcentral lists this ribosomal RNA (1481 nucleotides) under uncultured bacterium. Its description in RNAcentral is "bacterial SSU rRNA". It matches the Rfam family "Bacterial small subunit ribosomal RNA". The record is from RNAcentral.
AUGGCUCAGGACGAACGCUGGCGGCGUGCCUAAUACAUGCAAGUAGAACGCUGAAGAGAGGAGCUUGCUCUUCUUGGAUGAGUUGCGAACGGGUGAGUAACGCGUAGGUAACCUGCCUUGUAGCGGGGGAUAACUAUUGGAAACGAUAGCUAAUACCGCAUAACAAUGGAUGACCCAUGUCAUUUAUUUGAAAGGGGCAAAUGCUCCACUACAAGAUGGACCUGCGUUGUAUUAGCUAGUAGGUGAGGUAACGGCUCACCUAGGCGACGAUACAUAGCCGACCUGGGAGGGUGAUCGGCCACACUGGGACUGAGACACGGCCCAGACUCCUACGGGAGGCAGCAGUAGGGAAUCUUCGGCAAUGGGGGCAACCCUGACCGAGCAACGCCGCGUGAGUGAAGAAGGUUUUCGGAUCGUAAAGCUCUGUUGUAAGUCAAGAACGAGUGUGAGAGUGGAAAGUUCACACUGUGACGGUAGCUUACCAGAAAGGGACGGCUAACUACGUGCCAGCAGCCGCGGUAAUACGUAGGUCCCGAGCGUUGUCCGGAUUUAUUGGGCGUAAAGCGAGCGCAGGCGGUUUGAUAAGUCUGAAGUUAAAGGCUGUGGCUCAACCAUAGUUCGCUUUGGAAACUGUCAAACUUGAGUGCAGAAGGGGAGAGUGGAAUUCCAUGUGUAGCGGUGAAAUGCGUAGAUAUAUGGAGGAACACCGGUGGCGAAAGCGGCUCUCUGGUCUGUAACUGACGCUGAGGCUCGAAAGCGUGGGGAGCGAACAGGAUUAGAUACCCUGGUAGUCCACGCCGUAAACGAUGAGUGCUAGGUGUUGGAUCCUUUCCGGGAUUCAGUGCCGCAGCUAACGCAUUAAGCACUCCGCCUGGGGAGUACGACCGCAAGGUUGAAACUCAAAGGAAUUGACGGGGGCCCGCACAAGCGGUGGAGCAUGUGGUUUAAUUCGAAGCAACGCGAAGAACCUUACCAGGUCUUGACAUCCCGAUGCUAUUUCUAGAGAUAGAAAGUUACUUCGGUACAUCGGUGACAGGUGGUGCAUGGUUGUCGUCAGCUCGUGUCGUGAGAUGUUGGGUUAAGUCCCGCAACGAGCGCAACCCCUAUUGUUAGUUGCCAUCAUUCAGUUGGGCACUCUAGCGAGACUGCCGGUAAUAAACCGGAGGAAGGUGGGGAUGACGUCAAAUCAUCAUGCCCCUUAUGACCUGGGCUACACACGUGCUACAAUGGUUGGUACAACGAGUUGCGAGUCGGUGACGGCAAGCUAAUCUCUUAAAGCCAAUCUCAGUUCGGAUUGUAGGCUGCAACUCGCCUACAUGAAGUCGGAAUCGCUAGUAAUCGCGGAUCAGCACGCCGCGGUGAAUACGUUCCCGGGCCUUGUACACACCGCCCGUCACACCACGAGAGUUUGUAACACCCGAAGUCGGUGAGGUAACCUUUUGGAGCCAGCCGCCUAAGGUGGGAUAGAUGAUGCGGGAAAG